AAUUAAUUUUAUUAAUAAGUAUAUUUGUAUUUAGAUAUUUUAUAAAAAUAAUUUAUUUUUAUUAUGUUUUAGUAUUAAUUAAAAAUUAAUUUUUAGAUUUAUAGUUUAUUAGUAUUGUGAAAGAAUUUAAUUAAAUUAAAAAAAGAAUAUUAUAGUACCUUUUGUAUCAGGGUUGAUUAAAAUUUUUAAUUUAUUUUAAAUUCUCAAAAUUUAUAGAGUUAAUUUUAUUAUUAAUUUAUUGUUAUAUAAAUAUUUAGAAAAUAUUAUUAGUUUAGAAAUUUAAUUCGUUAUAUUAUAUUUAGUUAUUUAAGAUUUAAAUUUAAUUUAAAAUUUUAAAAGUUAAUAUUAAUUUGAAUUAUUAAUAUUUUAAAAUUAAAUUAUUUUAGGGAUAAGCUUAAAAUUUUUAUAUAAUAAUUUUUAAUUUAAAAUAAUUAAUAGGAUUAGAAAUUUUUAAUUUAAGUUUGUAAAAAUUUAUUAUUUAUUUAAUUUAAAUUUAUUAAAAUUAUAUUUAUUUUUUAUAUUAAAUUUUAUAAAUUAAUUAUUAAUUUAUAGUAAUAAUGAUUAAAUUAGUAUAAUUGAAAUUUAUAAAUUAUGAAUUCGGCAAAAAUUAUUUUCAUCUGUUUAACAAAAACAUUGUAUUAAGUUUUAUUUAAUAUAGGAUCUGCUCAAUGAAAUAUUUAAAUAGCUGCAGUAUUUUGACUGUGCAAAGGUAGCAUAAUAAUUAGUCUUUUAAUUGAAGACUUGUAUGAAAGAUUUGAUGAAAAAUAAACUUUAUUAUUUAUAAAAUUAAAAUUUUAUUUUUAAGUAAAAAAGCUUAAAUAUUUUAAAGGGACGAUAAGACCCUAUAAAACUUUAUAAUUAAUUAUUUUUAAAUUUUUGGUUUAUAAGUAUUUAAAUUUAAUUAUUUAUUUUAUUGGGGUGAUAAAAAAAAAAUAAUUAACUUUUUUUAAAUUUAUACAUUAUUUAAUGAAAUUUUGAAUUAAAAUUUUUAAUUUUAAGAAAAAGUUACUUUAGGGAUAACAGCGUAAUUAAUUUUUUAAGUUCAAAUUUAAAAAUUAGUUUGCGACCUCGAUGUUGAAUUAAGAAAAAUUUUAGGUGCAAAAUUUUAAAUAUUAGGUCUGUUCGACCUUUAAAUUCUUACAUGAUUUGAGUUCAAACCGGUGUAAGCCAGGUUGGUUUCUAUCUUUUAAAUUAAAAAUUAUUUUAGUACGAAAGGAUUUAAUAAUUAAAUUAAAUUUUAUUUUAUGAAUUAAACUAAUUUAAUACUAUUUUGGC
Molecule: ribosomal RNA, 1275 nt
Filed under: Periphyllus acerihabitans
Lineage: Eukaryota; Metazoa; Arthropoda; Insecta; Hemiptera; Aphididae
Description: 16S ribosomal RNA
Source: RNAcentral